This 487-nucleotide unclassified non-coding RNA is filed under the name Hevea brasiliensis (rubber tree). The record is from RNAcentral. Lineage: Eukaryota; Viridiplantae; Streptophyta; Magnoliopsida; Malpighiales; Euphorbiaceae.
UUGGAAUGUUCUGUUUGAUCUUUGGUUUAUCGUUUGACAAUCUCGUCACUUAAGAUGGAUUUUUGCUUAGUUUGCAGUAUUUCUUUUAUCAGCAUCUCUGUUAGCCUUCUGUGUAGUGUAAUUGCCUAUGCUUUAUGGCGGUGUAUUUUCCAUGUCUAUUGGAUUGGUUUAAAAUAACAUUAAUUCUUUUUGCCGUAUCCCAGGAAGUUUUUAUAGAAAUUCUGCGAGCAUUUGGCUAGCAUUGCAAUUAAGAGUUGCCUGGCUGCUUUUAUUUUGAGAUUGUUUUUGUAUUUUCUUGAUCCUGGUCUAUGUUGAAUCCUUUUAUGAUUUUCUUAAGGUAGUUGAAAUAUGUUGUCAAGCCCAAUUUGUGAUGUUUUGGCGCAAUGCUGGAUUUGGUGUGGUUGCGUGCAUGACUUUCUUUGAUGUUCCACUACUUAACUUUUGUCAUAUCUUGAUGUGUUGGAAAAAUUAUAAGCUUGAACUGGAG